RNAcentral lists this transfer RNA (85 nucleotides) under Desulfonema magnum. RNAcentral's name for it is "tRNA-Leu". It matches the Rfam family "tRNA". From Rfam's summary of the family: Transfer RNA (tRNA) molecules are approximately 80 nucleotides in length. The record is from RNAcentral. Lineage: Bacteria; Pseudomonadati; Thermodesulfobacteriota; Desulfobacteria; Desulfobacterales; Desulfococcaceae.
GGGGAAGUGGCGAAAUUGGAAUACGCGCAAGAUUUAGGAUAUUGUGUCUUCGGGCGUAUGGGUUCGAGUCCCAUCUUCCCCACCA